AAAUGCACAACAAUGAUUAACCACGCAAGGCGGCACCGUGACAGGAGCGUGAAACUCGUGCUAGGUACGAGAAAGUCGAAUACCAGUUGGAACAAAGCAUUAAUCGACAGAGCAACGGAGUGAAAUCCCUGGGAGAGAAAUAAUUCAAUAAGGAGGAAAAUGGAACAAAGUCUAAGUUGCGGUAUGCCGGCUUUUUACUCUCCCUCUUUUACUCAGGGACUCGUCCUUCCGCUUGGUUCAUAUUCACACGCUGGCCAACGCAGUAACGCAGCGAUGGGUGUGCCAGAAGUAUAGAAACUAAACAUUGUUUGUUCACUGACAGUCAAUGAAUCCACACCCCAUAGAUAUUAUAUUUUUCCCUUAUUUUUAUUUCUAUCCGAUCCAAUCAAUCAAAAAUAAUAAAUCUUCUUUAUAUUAAAAGUAUCAAAACGAAAAAUAAAUAGAGAAUGUCAAUAUAA
Apis cerana (Asiatic honeybee) is the source of this 458-nucleotide long non-coding RNA. RefSeq lists it as uncharacterized. Lineage: Eukaryota; Metazoa; Arthropoda; Insecta; Hymenoptera; Apidae. The record is from RefSeq and is a predicted model, not a curated record.